ACUAGUCCAAUGCUCUUCCAACUGAGCUACGCGGUCAGGACGGUUCGAGUAAGUGAUAUUUCGGAACAGUAUCUAGUUCCUUCAAUACCAAUAUGUUCUAGUAAUAUGAAUUUUUUUUUUCUCUGUGUUGGUGUUGUGUACUCAGAUGAAUAAUAUGUUUGCCAUGUUACUCUGAGUGCAUAUCCACACCGGGCGAGCUUGAAAAAUAUGCCCGGCCACGGUGGGAUUCGAACCUGCGACCUUUGGAAUACUAGCCCAAUGCUCUUCCAACUGAGCUACGCGGUCAGCAUGGUUCGAGUAAGUGAUAUUUCGGAACAGUAUCUAGUUCCUUCAAUACCAAUGUGUUCUUGUAAUAUGAUUUUUUUCUGUGCUGGUGUUGUGUACUCAGGUGAAUAAUAUGUUUGUGAUGUUACUCUGAGUGCAUAUCCACACCGGGCGAGCUUGAAAAAUAUGCCCGGCCACGGUGGGAUUCGAACCUAUGACCUUUGGAAUACUAGCCCAAUGCUCUUCCAACUGAGCUACGCGGUCAGGACGGUUCGAGUAAGUGAUAUUUCGGAACAGUAUCUAGUUCCUUCAAUACCAAUAUGUUCUAGUAAUAUGAAUUUUUUUUUUCUCUGUGUUGGUGUUGUGUACUCAGAUGAAUAAUAUGUUUGCCAUGUUACUCUGAGUGCAUAUCCACACCGGGCGAGCUUGAAAAAUAUGCCCGGCCACGGUGGGAUUCGAACCUACGACCUUUGGAAUACUAACCCAAUGCUCUUCCAACUGAGCUACGCGGUCAGGACGGUUCGAGUAAGUGAUAUUUCGGAACAGUAUCUGGUUCCUUCAAUACCAAUGUGUUCUUGUAAUAUGAAUUUUUUCUGUGCUGGUGUUGUGUACUCAGGUGAAUAAUAUGUUUGUGAUGUUACUCUGAGUGCAUAUCCACACCGGGCGAGCUUGAAAAAUAUGCCCGGCCACGGUGGGAUUCGAACCUACGACCUUUGGAAUACCAGCCCAAUGCUCUUCCAACUGAACUACGCGGUCAGGACGGUUCGAGUAAGUGAUAUUUCGGAACAGUAUCUAGUUCCUUCAAUACCAAUGUGUUCUUGCAAUAUGAAUUUUUUUUUUUUUUUUUAUUAUUUUUUUUCUGUGUUGGUGUUGUGUACUCAGGUGAAUAAUAUGUUUGCGA
Non-coding RNA from Paramuricea clavata, 1165 nucleotides. The record is from the annotation of a GenBank genome assembly. Lineage: Eukaryota; Metazoa; Cnidaria; Anthozoa; Malacalcyonacea; Plexauridae.